GACGAGUGGCGGACGGGUGAGUAAUGCUUGGGAACUUGCCUUUAGGUGGGGGAUAACAGUUGGAAACGACUGCUAAUACCGCAUAAUGUCUACGGACCAAAGGGGGCUUCGGCUCCCGCCUUGAGAGAGGCCCAAGUGAGAUUAGCUAGUUGGUGGGGUAAAGGCCUACCAAGGCAACGAUCUCUAGCUGUUCUGAGAGGAAGAUCAGCCACACUGGGACUGAGACACGGCCCAGACUCCUACGGGAGGCAGCAGUGGGGAAUAUUGCACAAUGGGGGAAACCCUGAUGCAGCCAUGCCGCGUGUGUGAAGAAGGCCUUCGGGUUGUAAAGCACUUUCAGUUGUGAGGAAAGGUUGGUAGUUAAUACCUGCCAGCUGUGACGUUAACAACAGAAGAAGCACCGGCUAACUCCGUGCCAGCAGCCGCGGUAAUACGGAGGGUGCGAGCGUUAAUCGGAAUUACUGGGCGUAAAGCGCACGCAGGCGGCUUGUUAAGCUAGAGGUGAAAGCCCCGCGCUCAACGUGGGAACUGCCUUUAGAACUGGCAGGCUAGAGUCUUGGAGAGGGGAGUGGAAUUCCAGGUGUAGCGGUGAAAUGCGUAGAUAUCUGGAGGAACAUCAGUGGCGAAGGCGGCUCCCUGGCCAAAGACUGACGCUCAUGUGCGAAAGUGUGGGUAGCGAAC
This 681-nucleotide ribosomal RNA is filed under the name Marisediminitalea aggregata. RNAcentral's name for it is "bacterial SSU rRNA". It matches the Rfam family "Bacterial small subunit ribosomal RNA", at positions 90 to 773 of the family's 1533-position model. The record is from RNAcentral. Lineage: Bacteria; Pseudomonadati; Pseudomonadota; Gammaproteobacteria; Alteromonadales; Alteromonadaceae.